GCAAUUCCUUCGGCAUCAGCUGAGACAACAUUUCAAAGACAGUCUUUCCAAGGAGCUUCCCCCUCUGCUGCAUUAAACACCUUCUCAGGUCUCAACACAGCUGCGUGAAUUUCUUAGUGAUGGCUACAACUGAUAUAUCUGGAAGACUUAAGAGACAUACAGUUUUUUUAGCAAAGCUACAAUACCCCACAUCCACACAUUGCAUAUCCAGUGUAAAGAGCAGAAGAACACAGGGAUUUUUGCAAAAUUACCACUGUUAGGUGUUCAAUUCUGAACACAGCCAUAGUCUGAUUUCGAUACAAGCAAUGCCAUCCUUUCACUCAAUAGAGAUGCUCUCCUGUGCAUUCAAAACUAGAUGUUUCUCCUAUAUCUUGUCAUUGCUCUAGACCCAGCAGAGGUUAGAACACCUGAAAAUACCAAGCUAUUUCAACAAUAAGAUAAAAAAAAUUACACAGCAACAAACCACCAAGGGCAAGAGGAAGGCACGAGACCUGGUGAAAAGCCAAUCUUGCAUGUAUAAACCAGAUUCUUAUUCCAUUCCUACUCAACCUCUAACUGAAGCUGAUAGCACCAUGCUGGCAAAAACCAAGUAACCAACCAACCAACAAAAAUCCAGCUAAGUAACAACUGAAGUUUUGCUUGGUGGGAAUGGUACAAAAAUCCUUAGACUGUUUAAAAGGUAAUAAAGUACUUGCUUAUCUGUA
Phalacrocorax carbo (great cormorant) is the source of this 704-nucleotide non-coding RNA. The record is from RefSeq and is a predicted model, not a curated record. NCBI's taxonomy places the organism in Eukaryota, Metazoa, Chordata, Aves, Suliformes, Phalacrocoracidae.